UACGUAGGUGGCAAGCGUUGUCCGGAAUUACUGGGUGUAAAGCGCGUGUAGGCGGCAGGCCAAGUCUGCGGUGAAAGCGCCCGGCUCAACUGGGCGAGGUCCGUGGAAACUGGUCAGCUGGAGGACGGUAGAGGCGAGUGGAAUUCCCGGUGUAGUGGUGAAAUGCGUAGAGAUCCGGAGGAACACCUGUGGCGAAGGCGGCCCCCUGGGCCGCACCUGACGCUGAGACGCGAAAGCGCGGGGAGCGAACGGG
RNAcentral lists this ribosomal RNA (253 nucleotides) under uncultured bacterium. RNAcentral's name for it is "partial 16S ribosomal RNA". It matches the Rfam family "Bacterial small subunit ribosomal RNA", at positions 524 to 776 of the family's 1533-position model. The record is from RNAcentral.